Molecule: ribosomal RNA, 513 nt
Filed under: uncultured Desulfobulbus sp.
Lineage: Bacteria; Pseudomonadati; Thermodesulfobacteriota; Desulfobulbia; Desulfobulbales; Desulfobulbaceae
Description: bacterial SSU rRNA
Rfam family: Bacterial small subunit ribosomal RNA
Source: RNAcentral
GCCUUCGCCACGCCCGCUCAAGAAACUUAAAGUAAUUGACGGGGGCCCGCACAAGCGGUGGAGUAUGUGGUUUAAUUCGAUGCAACGCGAAGAACCUUACCUGGUCUUGACAUCCCGGAGACCCUUAGGAAACUAGGGGGUGCUUCCAUCUGGAAGAAUCUGGAGACAGGUGCUGCAUGGCUGUCGUCAGCUCGUGUCGUGAGAUGUUGGGUUAAGUCCCGCAACGAGCGCAACCCUUGCCUUUAGUUGCCAGCAGUUCGGCUGGGCACUCUAAAGGGACUGCCGGUGUUAAACCGGAGGAAGGUGGGGAUGACGUCAAGUCCUCAUGGCCUUUAUGACCAGGGCUACACACGUACUACAAUGGCCGAUACAAAGGGCAGCGACACUGCGAGGUGAAGCCAAUCCCGUAAAAUCGGUCUCAGUCCGGAUUGGAGUCUGCAACUCGACUCCAUGAAGUUGGAAUCGCUAGUAAUCGUGGAUCAGCAUGCCACGGUGAAUACGUUCCCGGGCCUU